Molecule: ribosomal RNA, 33 nt
Filed under: Eunicella cavolini
Lineage: Eukaryota; Metazoa; Cnidaria; Anthozoa; Malacalcyonacea; Eunicellidae
Description: Eunicella cavolinii partial 28S ribosomal RNA
Source: RNAcentral
UUAACCUCAGAUCAGGGAAGAUUACCCGCUGAA